UGCCUUCCAGCCCGGGUGUCAUCCCCCGGACACUCCCACCCCUGGCUUAAGUUCCAGUGAUUCUCUAGGCAUGAUCCCACCCUGCUGCCGUCUUUGUUCCUGGGCCGCCUGGGACUGCCUGGUGGAUGGAGCCUUUGAACAAAUGAGAAACAUCCCCCCCCCCUUCUCCGGGCAGGCACAGCCCUUCAAGGAUCACACGGAGCCGGGAAGGUGAAUCACGAGAGGAGCCCUGUGUGACGUGGCCAGCACAGAAGGCUCAGCUCCCCGGGACCUCAAGUGGAGAGACAGGGCCUGGAAUUUCCCAGAUGUCACACUUGGCUGAGCCCCUUUCCUUGGAUUUCUGCAGAGGACGGACAAGAGACUCCCAGCCCAGCGCCGGCUCACUGAGACCCUGUAGUCUCUGUUUCAUUCAUAAAGCUGUGUCAGUGUGUUUAUAUCAUUGAAUUUGGAGGGAGGGAGGGUGAGGCCAGGCCGGGCAGCAGGGCUUCUGUCCCUCAGCUCAC
This is a long non-coding RNA of Zalophus californianus (California sea lion), 503 nucleotides long. RefSeq lists it as uncharacterized. The record is from RefSeq and is a predicted model, not a curated record. The transcript has 3 exons. NCBI's taxonomy places the organism in Eukaryota, Metazoa, Chordata, Mammalia, Carnivora, Otariidae.